UAUAUCGCGUUGAAACACUGGUUCUCAUACGAUCACCGAAGCUAAGCAACGUCCAACCUGGUCAGUACCUAGAUGGGUGAAUGCUUGGAAAUACUAGGUGCUGUAAG
Molecule: non-coding RNA, 107 nt
Organism: Acanthosepion pharaonis
Lineage: Eukaryota; Metazoa; Mollusca; Cephalopoda; Sepiida; Sepiidae
Source: the annotation of a GenBank genome assembly